Molecule: ribosomal RNA, 440 nt
Filed under: uncultured bacterium
Lineage: Bacteria
Description: partial 16S ribosomal RNA
Rfam family: Bacterial small subunit ribosomal RNA
Source: RNAcentral
CCUACGGGAGGCAGCAGUGGGGAAUAUUGCACAAUGGGGGGAACCCUGAUGCAGCGACGCCGCGUGGGUGAAGAAGUACCCCGGCAUGUAAAGCCCUGUCAGCAGGGAAGAAAAUGACGGUACCUGACCAAGAAGCCCCGGCUAACUACGUGCCAGCAGCCGCGGUAAUACGUAGGGGGCAAGCGUUAUCCGGAUUUACUGGGUGUAAAGGGGGCGUAGACGGCAAGGCAAGUCUGGAGUGAAAGCCCGGGGCCCAACCCCGGGACUGCUUUGGAAACUGGGUGGCUGGAGUGCAGGAGGGGUAAGCGGAAUUCCUGGUGUAGCGGUGAAAUGCGUAGAUAUCAGGAGGAACACCGGUGGCGAAGGCGGCCUACUGGACUGUAACUGACGUUGAGGCUCGAAGGCGUGGGGAGCAAACAGGAUUAGAUACCCGUGUAGUC